UACCAUUCUUAGCACAUACAUAUUGUGCAUGUCGGCAAUAUGUGUUUAAUAAUUUAAUAAUGCCUCUAUUAAUGAUUGGUCCAGAGUCUGAUAUCUCUCAUGUAAAAGCAAGGCUGUGAACAUUCUCAUGCAUAUAUCUGUUGGUUUGUCUUCUUUGUUUGGAUCCAUUUCUGCCGGCAGAGUUCCUGAGCCAAAAGUUAGCUGACAUGUGAACUCUGAUUCCUACGACCAGAGGUCUAUGACCCAACAGCGCCAUAAGAAGAGCAUGGUACGCUGUUCCCAGGCAGAGAGGGGCUUUGAGUCAAAAGACGACAGGACUGAGGCGGCUCUUCUGGCUCAUGGCCCUUCUUCCGCACGCUCGCAGACAUCUAAACCUAGGCUGCCUCUCCAGCCAGCUUCUCUGAGACUUGUCACCACCACGAGCCACCCUGCUCCUCUCAGGUUCCCACAGAUUUCGUAAUUAUUGAGAAAAGACUCCCGAGAGGCUUUGAGGCAUGGACGUCUCAGCCCAGGCUGCCUCUGCUCUGCCUUGGCCAGUUGCAGGCAAGCAAGCGGUUUUCCGAAGCCCCUUGCAUGAUGGGCAGACUCUUUACCAACUGAGCCAGAGCGAAGCCUACGGCAAAGGAGCAGCGUGGUGGUUCAAGGCGCAAACCUUUACGUUCCAGGAAACCCUGUUACCUGGAGCUGACGUGUGUGCGUGCCAAGUCGCUUCAAUCGUGUCUGACUCUCAGCGACCCUAUGGACUGCGGUCCGCCAGGCUCCUCUGUCCAUGGGACUCUUCAGGCAAGACUAUUGGAGUGGCGUGCCAUGCCUCCUCCAGGGGAUCUCCCUGACCCAGAGACUGAACCCAGGUCUCUUAUGUCUCCCGCGCUGGCAGGCGGGUUCUUGACCACUAGUGCCACCUGGGAAGCCCAGGUGAGGCCAGGCUCAUCUCUCAGCCUCUCCCAGUCCGGUAUUCCUCGCUCUUCCAAUGGGGAUGAUUUGGAUGGUAAGAAAAGCAAGGCUAUACCUCGUGAGCGGUAAUGAAACGGAAAUAGGGUGAAUUCUCUGAAAAUACUUUUUAAAGCUUUAUAGAGCUUUUUGUAUGUCAGUUGUUAUUAUUACAGCACGUCCCCAAGUUGAUUUCCCAUGAGAAACAGAGUGAGCUCUGGAGCCAGAUGCCAUCUACAGUGUCUACUUCACAGGGUUAUUGUUGGGAUUAAAUAAGUGAAUACGUGCAAAUUCCUUAAGACAGGACCUGGCGUAUGAUGGAUGCUCGAUAAGUGCGAACACAAAUCCCUUCUCCUUUGAAGCUCUUUAUUCUUUUUUUGUUUGUUUGUUUUUAAUUGGAAUAGAGCUGUUUUACAGCAAGGUGUUAGUUUCUGUGUAAAACAAUGUGAUUCAGCCAUACAUGUGUGUAC
This 1400-nucleotide long non-coding RNA is filed under the name Capra hircus (goat). RNAcentral describes it as "lncRNA (ENSCHIG00000005672.1)". The record is from RNAcentral. Lineage: Eukaryota; Metazoa; Chordata; Mammalia; Artiodactyla; Bovidae.